This 740-nucleotide long non-coding RNA is filed under the name Heterocephalus glaber (naked mole-rat). RNAcentral's name for it is "lncRNA (ENSHGLG00000041319.1)". Lineage: Eukaryota; Metazoa; Chordata; Mammalia; Rodentia; Bathyergidae. The record is from RNAcentral.
GGGGUCAUGAGGAAAAGGAAAUAGGAAGUGACAGGAAGGAAGAGCAUCGAGGAAACUGCUUCCCAGGAACCCAGAGGCCCACACCAGCUCCCACUGCCACCACCAAGGUUAUGUUAUGCUCACCAGCCUCAGACUCUGUGUCUACAAAACAGGAAUGCAGAGGAGAGCUGCUGUGAGAACCUGCUGACCCACCCUACACCAAAUCCUGGGCUUGCAAUCAGUCCAGGUUCACGGAGGUCCUGCUGCACAGCGUGUGACUGGUCCCAUGCUGGGCACUUCAGCCCAAGAGAUAACAAGACACAGGGGGCAGCCCGGAGGACACUCAGGGCCAUAAGGAGACAGACAGGGGUUCGAAUCUCUUGGAGCCAACCCAGUGGUGACAAGUACACUUAGGUUCUGGGGAGGACAGUAAGGAGGGGGUACUGUGUAGGGAAGGAUGAAGUGGGGAGCAGAAAGGUCCAGAGAGGGAACAACACAGGCAAAGCACAGAAUGAAGAGCCAUACCAAAGAGAAAGGAGAGAGAGAGGCUGUGCCUGCCAAGCAGGUGACUGAGGACAGGGAGAUCCGGAAUGCCUGGGGAUGGCAGGAAGGAGGAGGAGAAAACGGAGACUCCAAGAAGUUGAGUAAUUCGUCAGCAUGCAAAUUUUAUGCCUUUCUUGUUCAAUUUAUUCCUGGUUAUUUGAUGCUAAUGCAAAUUGGGAAUUGUUCUCAUAUUUUCAUUUUCAGAGUGCUUGAUAAUG